CCUACGGGUGGCAGCAGUGGGGGAUAUUGCACAAUGGGGGAAACCCUGAUGCAGCGACGCCGCGUGAGUGACGAAGUAUUUCGGUAUGUAAAGCUCUAUCAGCAGGGAAGAAAAUGACAGUACCUGACCAAGACGCCCCGGCUAACUACGUGCCCGCAGCCGCGGUAAUACGUAGGGGGCAAGCGUUAUCCGGGUUUACUGGUUGUAAGGGUAGCGUAGACGGUUAUGUAAGUCUUGAGUGAAAGCCCGGGGCCCAACCCGGGGACUGCUUUGGAAACUGUGUAACUGGAGUACAGGUGGGGCAGGCGGAAUGCCUGGUGUAGCGGUGAAAUGCGUAGAUAUCAGGAGGAACACCGGCGGCGAAGGCGGCCUGCGGGACUGAAACUGACGUUGAGGCUCGAAAGCGUGGGGAGCAAACAGGAUUAGAUACCCGUGUAGUC
RNAcentral lists this ribosomal RNA (440 nucleotides) under uncultured bacterium. RNAcentral's name for it is "partial 16S ribosomal RNA". It matches the Rfam family "Bacterial small subunit ribosomal RNA", at positions 338 to 795 of the family's 1533-position model. The record is from RNAcentral.